Molecule: long non-coding RNA, 3349 nt
Filed under: Homo sapiens (human)
Lineage: Eukaryota; Metazoa; Chordata; Mammalia; Primates; Hominidae
Description: HSALNT0207396
Source: RNAcentral
AAAUGGCAGGUGUAAUUAUGUAUUGCACACAUAAAUUAUCGAUUGCAGUAGUAUAAAUUAAAACAUUUUGAAGUAAGUUGUAUCUAGUCUGAAGCAGAUUAAUGGAGAAAUGAUACCAACAUGUUUAUGUUUAGAAAAUAUCUUUGGUUUUUCAUUUCUAAAUGAGCCCAAAUGGUCUAGUGCCGUUUUCUCCUCCACUCGUGAUGAUAUAUGAGAUGUUGCCAGGUGCAUGUGAAGCGUUCUGGGUGUGGCCUGUCUGCCUGAGGCUGACUGGCCUAUCACUGUGUCCCUGUGCUGCUUUGCCACGCCUGUGACACUCCAUCUUCCCUGUGCACGCGCCUUCUCCCCAUCCAGGCAUUCAGGAUACAGUGGAGUCUCUGCAACAGGGUGACUUUUUUUUUGUCUCCAACACCUGUGACCAUCUUUUUAAUUUUGUUAAACUGAAGGAAACCGACUUGAUGAGAGUAACAUCAAACUCCCCCCAAAACACGAAAUUAGCCUCUCUCUGCAAGAUGAAAUAAGAAGUGCCCUGAAUGACGAGAGAAAGCAUGCUAGGGUCUCUGCCUAACUGAUCACUCAGGUUACGGUGAAAUCCUACCGGAUCAACAUCUGAGACCAGGCUUAUGGAAGUGAGCUUCCAACCUGAAUGCUUGAGGCUGAGGGGGUGUUGGCGGCCUCGAUAACAACCUGAACAACAGCUGGCAGCAGGGAGUGCCUGGGCCAUGUGUCCCCAGAGCACUGACCUGGGUGGUCCAGUCUCCUGUCUCGAGCUCCAGCCAUGAGCUUACACGGCCUUCACACUCCCCCCAAAACCAGCCAUUCUCAACCAGCGAGGCCUCUGUGUCUGCAAGGCCAGUUUUAUUUCUUCUUUGAUAUUUCUGCUUCUGUGUCCUUUCCCCGCUGCCCAAAAGCUGCCUCCCGUCUGCCCAUGCAGAGCUGUAUUACCCAACAACACCCAGCUCGACUCGGACAGCACCCAGCUCAACUCGGACAGGCCCCGGGAAAGUAAGAGCUUGGGGGGAGACCCACAGGCCCACACGGCAGCACUGCGAGGCUAGACCGUAAACAUGGGUCAAUUGAAUAUUUAUAAACAGGAUACUUAAAGGUUCUUGGGAUAUUGAACAAUGAAAGAAAUUGUACUAUUUGAAAAUUCUAUUUCACAUGAAAAUGUAAAAUUUCAGCAUAUCAGAAAGCAUCGUGAACAAAUUUGAAAGCCAAGCAAAACUGGGAAAAAUAUUUGGAUAAAAAAAUCCUAACACUGGUACAUAAUACAUAAUAGGCAGUUCAUAUGUAUUUUUUGUAUGAAUGAAACUUACAAUACUUUUAUUAAUGUCAUGGGAACUUAUAAAAACUGCAUGGAGAUAUUUUAAAGAAAAAAUUUUGAAACCCAUUUUGGUUUUCUUUAUAAUUCCUUCAGUUCAGCCCAUUCCUGUAACCACGUGCUCAUCCCCACAGGACUAGGCAGUGCCCACCCUUGGUGCCCUGCAGUGCACCGCAAGGACAUGGCCGUGGCCUGGAGCCGCGUCCCUGAGUUCCUGGUGGGCCGCGUGAGUCUCCCUGUUCCUCCCUGCUGCCUUCUCCUCUCCUGGCUUCCCCACCCCAUACUUCCCUGAUGAUAUGGUUUGGCUGUGUCCCCACCCAAAUCUCAUUUUGAAUUGUAAUCGUCAUGGGUUGACCGAGGGAGGUGAUUGGAUCAUGGGGGCAGAUGUCCCCCAGGCUGUUCUCAUGAUAGUGAGUUCUCACAAGGUCUGACGGUUUUAAAAGUGGCAGUUUGUUCUCGCGCUCUCGCUUCUCCAUCCUGCUGCCUUGUGAAUAAGGAUGUGUCUGCUUCCCCUUCUGCCGUGAUUGUGUUUCCUGAGGUCUCCCCAGCCAUGGAGAACUGCAAGUCAAUUAAACCUGUUUCCUUUAUAAAUUACCCAGUCUUGGGGAAGGCGUGAGAACAGACAAACAUGCCUGAGUCCCCGAGUCUGUGAUGCUCCUCAUUCUUCAGCACGGCCUGUGCCCGGGACGGGGCGCUCCUCCAGUGCAGAGCUCACACCAUGACUGUGGUGUCCUUCAAAUAACACUGCUGCUGCCAGCUUCCCAGGGACUCUUCUCCUGUGUGAUUCCAGUGCCUUGCCUAUGUCCCUGCUAAUCUUCUGGAGUUUAGGGGUCCGUGCGAAGCCCACCCCACCUGAGUCCUUUCAUCCUGGGUGCCUUCACCUCCGUCCAGGACUCCGGGGUUGCAGCCACACAUGCUCAUGUCACCGUGAGGCCCAGCCCUCCAGGGCCUGAGAUGUACAGAUGCUAUCCCCCUGGGCACCCAGUGUUUCCCCUUCCUCCCUGUCUGCCUUUUGCUCAAUCUCUCAGCGCCCUCAGGAAGCCCUUUCACAGCUCAGCAGGGAAACCUCUGGGCUCCUCCCCCUCCAGCAAGUCACCUGGAAGCUCUCAGGCUGGCCAUGGAAAGCUGAACCCACUGCCAGGGGACUGGACAGAGAGGCUGGUCUCAUUUUCCAAUCCCUUCCAGAAGGAAGGAGGAUGCUUCUCCUGAGAGCAGCGACAGGUUUGUGUCCUGUGACCUCUGCCUUCCCUCGCCCGGGGGAGGGUGAUGGGGCGUCUUUUUGGCUUUGGUUUAAGUAGCAAAAGAGAUGGAGUGUUCAAAGGAUUGAGGGGUCGGCCGAGGGUGGGGCUUCUCAGUGAGGGGCGGGUCCUCUGGGCGUCAUGAGGGCCUGGGGAGAGGACCCUGACCCACUGCCAGGGAGCUGUGCCAGAGGUUCCCAUGGGACAUGGAAGGGGAACCGACAUCCGUUUCUGCACUGGGGUGUGGACACCUGGCCCCACACCACCUAGGUUCCCCCACAGGGGCCUGAAGACUGGAGGUUCUCUCCAGAAUGUUCUGGUUUGAUUCUGAGAGCAGGAGAGACACCCAUAAAAAUGAUUGGGGUUAAAUUUCUGGCCAGGUAGAUGGGAACUCACAGCCAAAAUUUAAUUAAGGAGAAUAAACAAUUGUGCCACGCCAUGCAUCCAAGUCCGGCAGGGCAAAUCCACACCCGCUACUCACUGAGCUUCCCCUGGGCCGGAAUGCUCCCCCUACAUUUGCAAGAACAAAGCCUCCUUCCUGUAGAAAAGAAAACAAAAGUAAAAUAAAAAAGAACAAAGCCAUUGGGCUUGGGUUUCCUCUUUCCAAUCAAUCGAUCGGUCAUCGUCAACACUUUGGUUUUUUGUUGUUGUUUGUUCGUUUUUUUGAGAUGGGGUCUCGCUCAGUCACCCAGGCUGGAAUGUGAUGGUGCGAUCUCGGCUCACUGCAACCUCCGCCUCCCGGGAUCAAGCGAUUCUCCUGCCUCAGCCUCCAAAGUAGCUGGGAUUACAG